UACGUAGGGAGCGAGCGUUGUCCGGAAUUACUGGGUGUAAAGGGAGCGUAGGCGGGGUUUUAAGUCCGUUGUGAAAUCUAUCGGCUCAACCGGUAGCUGCGGCGGAAACUGGGACUCUUGAGUGAAGUAGAGGCAGGCGGAAUUCCUAGUGUAGCGGUGAAAUGCGUAGAUAUUAGGAGGAACACCAGUGGCGAAGGCGGCCUGCUGGGCUUUUACUGACGCUGAGGCUCGAAAGUGUGGGGAGCAAACAGGAUUAGAUACCCUGGUAGUCCACACUGUAAACGAUGAUUACUAGGUGUGGGGGGUCUGACCCCUUCCGUGCCGGAGUUAACACAAUAAGUAAUCCACCUGGGGAGUACGGCCGCAAGGUUGAA
This 374-nucleotide ribosomal RNA is filed under the name uncultured bacterium. RNAcentral's name for it is "bacterial SSU rRNA". It matches the Rfam family "Bacterial small subunit ribosomal RNA", at positions 524 to 898 of the family's 1533-position model. The record is from RNAcentral.